CCCCCGCGCCCCCGCCCCCGCGCUGCGGAGAAUGGGCACCUCGGGCCGCGGGGCGCAGCCGGAGAAUAAACCCCAAUGAUCACGGGCUGAGUCCGCACCACCACCAUGUCCGUGGCCUUCGCGUCGGCGCGGCCGAGAGGCAAAGGGGAGGUCACUCAGCAGACCAUCCAGAAGGUGGGCAAGGCCGAGGGGGUACAGAGUGCGGGUGGGCGCGGGACAGGAACAAAGCCGGGGCACAGCCCGCUGCACGGAGCCCUGACGGCGGCUCCGCGCGCCCCCUGGAAAGCCUGCGCCAACUUUGCCGGAGGCAUUGGCAGCGGGGGCCAGGCGGCCG
Molecule: long non-coding RNA, 334 nt
Filed under: Rattus norvegicus (Norway rat)
Lineage: Eukaryota; Metazoa; Chordata; Mammalia; Rodentia; Muridae
Description: long non-coding RNA NONRATT020079
Source: RNAcentral